RNAcentral lists this unclassified non-coding RNA (287 nucleotides) under Tolypocladium sp. RNAcentral's name for it is "partial contains 5.8S ribosomal RNA, internal transcribed spacer 2, and large subunit ribosomal RNA". The stretch from base 1 to 71 matches the Rfam family "5.8S ribosomal RNA", at positions 84 to 154 of the family's 154-position model. The record is from RNAcentral. Lineage: Eukaryota; Fungi; Ascomycota; Sordariomycetes; Hypocreales; Ophiocordycipitaceae.
GUGAAUCAUCGAAUCUUUGAACGCACAUUGCGCCCGCCAGUAUUCUGGCGGGCAUGCCUGUUCGAGCGUCAUUUCAACCCUCAAGCCCCAGCCGGCUUGGUGUUGGGGACCGGCCCCGGCCGCCCCCCAAAUGCAGUGGCGACCUCGCCGCAGCCUCCCCUGCGUAGUAGCACAACCUCGCACCGGAGCGCGGAGACGGUCACGCCGUAAAACGCCCAACUUCUCAGAGUUGACCUCGGAUCAGGUAGGAAUACCCGCUGAACUUAAGCAUAUCAAUAAGCGGAGGA